GGGGUCGAACCUAGGUGCCGCAGCUAACGCAUUAAGUAUUCCGCCUGGGGAGUACGCACGCAAGUGUGAAACUCAAAGGAAUUGACGGGGACCCGCACAAGCAGCGGAGCAUGUGGUUUAAUUCGAAGCAACGCGAAGAACCUUACCAGGUCUUGACAUGCUAGUGACCGAUCCUUAAUCGGAUCUUUCCUUCGGGACACUAGACACAGGUGGUGCAUGGUUGUCGUCAGCUCGUGUCGUGAGAUGUUGGGUUAAGUCCCGCAACGAGCGCAACCCUUAUUUUCAGUUGCCAUCAGGUAAUGCUGGGCACUCUGAAGAGACUGCCGUGGACAACACGGAGGAAGGUGGGGAUGACGUCAAAUCAUCAUGCCCCUUAUGAUCUGGGCUACACACGUGCUACAAUGGUCGGUACAACAGGCAGCGAAAGGGUGACCUGGAGCGAAUCCUCUAAAGCCGAUCUCAGUUCGGAUUGUAGGCUGCAACUCGCCUACAUGAAGUUGGAGUUGCUAGUAAUCGUGGAUCAGAAUGCCGCGGUGAAUGCGUUCCCGGGUCUUGUACACACCGCCCGUCACACCAUGGAAGCUGGGGGCGCCCGAAGCCCGUGAUCCAACCCCUUUGGGGAGGAA
This 626-nucleotide ribosomal RNA is filed under the name uncultured bacterium. RNAcentral describes it as "bacterial SSU rRNA". It matches the Rfam family "Bacterial small subunit ribosomal RNA", at positions 826 to 1451 of the family's 1533-position model. The record is from RNAcentral.